GCAUAUCAAUAAGCGGAGGAAAAGAAACCAACAGGGAUUGCCCCAGUAACGGCGAGUGAAGCGGCAAGAGCUCAAAUUUGAAAGCUGGCUCCUUCGGGGUCCGCAUUGUAAUUUGCAGAGGAUGCUUCGGGAGCGGUCCCCAUCUAAGUGCCCUGGAACGGGACGUCAUAGAGGGUGAGAAUCCCGUAUGGGAUGGGGUGUCCGCGCCCGUGUGAAGCUCCUUCGACGAGUCGAGUUGUUUGGGAAUGCAGCUCUAAAUGGGUGGUAAAUUUCAUCUAAAGCUAAAUAUUGGCCGGAGACCGAUAGCGCACAAGUAGAGUGAUCGAAAGAUGAAAAGCACUUUGAAAAGAGAGUUAAAAAGCACGUGAAAUUGUUGAAAGGGAAGCGCUUGCGACCAGACUCGCUCGCGGGGUUCAGCCGGCAUUCGUGCCGGUGUACUUCCCCGCGAGCGGGCCAGCGUCGGUUUGGGCGGUCGGUCAAAGGCCUCUGGAAGGUAACGCCCCCUCGGGGGCGUCUUAUAGCCAGGGGUGCAAUGCGGCCUGCCCGGACCGAGGAACGCGCUUCGGCUCGGACGCUGGCAUAAUGGUCGUAAGCGACCCGUCUUGAAACACGGACCAAGGAGUCUAACAUCUACGCGAGUGUUCGGGUGUCAAACCCGUGCGCGAAGUGAAAGCGAACGGAGGUGGGAACCCGCAAGGGUGCACCAUCGACCGAUCCUGAAGUCUUCGGAUGGAUUUGAGUAAGAGCGUAGCUGUUGGGACCCGAAAGAUGGUGAACUAUGCCUGAAUAGGGCGAAGCCAGAGGAAACUCUGGUGGAGGCUCGUAGCGGUUCUGACGUGCAAAUCGAUCGUCGAAUUUGGGGUAUAGGGGGCGAAAGACUAAUCGAACCAUCUGGUAGCUGGUUUCCUGCCGAAG
This 915-nucleotide ribosomal RNA is filed under the name Penicillium brevicompactum. Its description in RNAcentral is "LSU rRNA". It matches the Rfam family "Eukaryotic large subunit ribosomal RNA", at positions 38 to 966 of the family's 3401-position model. Lineage: Eukaryota; Fungi; Ascomycota; Eurotiomycetes; Eurotiales; Aspergillaceae. The record is from RNAcentral.